CCCCCGCGGUCGCCCCUCACGUGAUGGUGUUAAAGGGGACAGUGGGGAGGGUAUAAAGUGGGAAGUGAAGAACGACGGAGGCCGGUUGGCCCGCCUGCGCCGGAAGUGAAACAGACUGCCAGCACUGUGGACUCAGCCAAUGAGCAGAAAUGUGUGUUGUAGUGAUCUGGGCCGGGAGGUGGCGCAGUGGAUAAAGCAUCGGACUCUCAGGCAUGAGGUCCUGAGUUCAAUCCCAGGCAGCACAUGUACCAGAGUGAUGUCUGGUUCUUUUUCUCUCUCCUCCUAUUUUCCUCAUAAAUAAAUAAAUAAAUAAAUCCUUUAAAAAAUAAA
Erinaceus europaeus (western European hedgehog) is the source of this 330-nucleotide long non-coding RNA. RefSeq lists it as uncharacterized. The transcript is spliced from 2 exons. NCBI's taxonomy places the organism in Eukaryota, Metazoa, Chordata, Mammalia, Eulipotyphla, Erinaceidae. The record is from RefSeq and is a predicted model, not a curated record.